GCCUGCAUGGAGUAGUGGUUAACUCAUCGGCCUCCGACUACACGGUCAGAAAGCCGGGAACUCGGGUUCGAAUCCCGGUGCAGGUG
This is a non-coding RNA of Hypomontagnella submonticulosa, 86 nucleotides long. The record is from the annotation of a GenBank genome assembly. Lineage: Eukaryota; Fungi; Ascomycota; Sordariomycetes; Xylariales; Hypoxylaceae.